This is a long non-coding RNA of Motacilla alba alba, 629 nucleotides long. RefSeq lists it as uncharacterized. Lineage: Eukaryota; Metazoa; Chordata; Aves; Passeriformes; Motacillidae. The transcript has 6 exons. The record is from RefSeq and is a predicted model, not a curated record.
AGAGGGUCCUCUAGCCUGUUGAAAAAGAAAAUUUGGUGCUGACACAUCUAUACGGUCUGCAGUGUUUCCUGUACUGCCUUCCAGAUGGUUACAAGGAGGUGGAGAAAAUAUUGCAGAAAUCUGAGGGAACCGAGUAUUCUUUGCUACAGCGAUAUGGGAGGAAAGAUCUUUCAAGCUCUUCUCUGUCCCAAGUGAGGAGAUGAACAAAUGCAUUCUAAAGGCAUGAAGUGUUGGGCACUGCUUUCUUCCAGUUCAACAUGGAAUUAGUCCCACUGAGUGUACUCACAGGAAUGUGGAGCACUCUUGCAGCUGGAAAGGCAAAAUCUCAGUAAAGUCUGCCAGCUUGGAUGGGAUAAUAAUCAUAACACAAGAUUUCAGCAAAAAGCCUACAAACCUUGAAGUCCCCAUUGUGUGUUAUUUGGAGAAGCAGUUUUGAUAUUUGUGUCUCAGCUUGCAUGAGCAAUAUCACAUUACUGGAAAUUGUGUUUUCCUACAAUGACUCCCACAGGCAGAGGAUGGCUGAGCCCUGAGCAUAUGGAUCCUCUGUUUGAAUAAAAAUCAAUGUGAUGUGGGCCAAUACAUAUAUUGAGGUAAUUUCUGGAAGUAAUAUUGCAAAACAAAUGAACUGG